ACGAAGGGGGCUAGCGUUGCUCGGAAUUACUGGGCGUAAAGGGCGCGUAGGCGGGUGUUUAAGUCAGAGGUCAAAUCCCAGAGCUCAACUCUGGAACUGCCUUUGAUACUGGACACCUAGAGUUCGGGAGAGGUGUGUGGAACUCCGAGUGUAGAGGUGAAAUUCGUAGAUAUUCGGAAGAACACCAGUGGCGAAGGCGACACACUGGCCCGAUACUGACGCUGAGGCGCGAAAGCGUGGGGAGCAAACAGGAUUAGAUACCCUGGUAGUCCACGCCGUAAACGAUGAGUGCUAGUUGUCGGCAUGCAUGCAUGUCGGUGACGCAGCUAACGCAUUAAGCACUCCGCCUGGGGAGUACGGUCGCAAGAUUA
RNAcentral lists this ribosomal RNA (371 nucleotides) under uncultured bacterium. RNAcentral describes it as "bacterial SSU rRNA". It matches the Rfam family "Bacterial small subunit ribosomal RNA", at positions 525 to 896 of the family's 1533-position model. The record is from RNAcentral.